GGCGUUUGUACCAACAAUUUGUCGCGGUCUUCAAUGGUGCCGCCAAUAUGGUAGGGCAGGCCACAGUUGGCAAAGCUGAUAAAACUGUCACGUUCAAAUACAAUGAUAUUGGCGGAUUCAGAGAGGCGACGCGCUCUUGCUGCUGCUGAUGCGCCACCGGCGACGCCAC
This 169-nucleotide antisense RNA is filed under the name marine eukaryotic metagenome. Its description in RNAcentral is "Vibrio RNA AS7". It matches the Rfam family "Vibrio RNA AS7". From Rfam's summary of the family: Identified by direct cloning an parallel sequencing experiments with 5S/tRNA depletion. Confirmed by Northern blot. The record is from RNAcentral.